This 74-nucleotide transfer RNA is filed under the name Acidimicrobiia bacterium. RNAcentral describes it as "tRNA-Lys". It matches the Rfam family "tRNA". Rfam says of the family: Transfer RNA (tRNA) molecules are approximately 80 nucleotides in length. Their secondary structure includes four short double-helical elements and three loops (D, anti-codon, and T loops). Lineage: Bacteria; Bacillati; Actinomycetota; Acidimicrobiia. The record is from RNAcentral. RNAcentral also lists the same sequence under 2 other names.
GCGCCCCUAGCUCAACUGGUUAGAGCAUCAGACUCUUAAUCUGCAGGUUCCGGGUUCGAGUCCCGGGGGGCGUA